Molecule: ribosomal RNA, 764 nt
Filed under: Salmonella enterica subsp. enterica serovar Bareilly
Lineage: Bacteria; Pseudomonadati; Pseudomonadota; Gammaproteobacteria; Enterobacterales; Enterobacteriaceae
Description: partial 23S ribosomal RNA
Rfam family: Bacterial large subunit ribosomal RNA
Source: RNAcentral
GUGGACGCCAGUCUGCGUGGAGCCGACCUUGAAAUACCACCCUUUAAUGUUUGAUGUUCUAACGUGGACCCGUAAUCCGGGUUGCGGACAGUGUCUGGUGGGUAGUUUGACUGGGGCGGUCUCCUCCUAAAGAGUAACGGAGGAGCACGAAGGUUGGCUAAUCCUGGUCGGACAUCAGGAGGUUAGUGCAAUGGCAUAAGCCAGCUUGACUGCGAGCGUGACGGCGCGAGCAGGUGCGAAAGCAGGUCAUAGUGAUCCGGUGGUUCUGAAUGGAAGGGCCAUCGCUCAACGGAUAAAAGGUACUCCGGGGAUAACAGGCUGAUACCGCCCAAGAGUUCAUAUCGACGGCGGUGUUUGGCACCUCGAUGUCGGCUCAUCACAUCCUGGGGCUGAAGUAGGUCCCAAGGGUAUGGCUGUUCGCCAUUUAAAGUGGUACGCGAGCUGGGUUUAGAACGUCGUGAGACAGUUCGGUCCCUAUCUGCCGUGGGCGCUGGAGAACUGAGGGGGGCUGCUCCUAGUACGAGAGGACCGGAGUGGACGCAUCACUGGUGUUCGGGUUGUCAUGCCAAUGGCACUGCCCGGUAGCUAAAUGCGGAAGAGAUAAGUGCUGAAAGCAUCUAAGCACGAAACUUGCCCCGAGAUGAGUUCUCCCUGAGACUUAGAGUCUCCUGAAGGAACGUUGAAGACGACGACGUUGAUAGGCCGGGUGUGUAAGCGCAGCGAUGCGUUGAGCUAACCGGUACUAAUGAACCGUGAGGCUUAAC